GGGGGCUUGCUCCCGGGUUAGUGGCGAACGGGUGAGUAAUAUAUCGGAACAUAUCCGGAAGUGGGGGAUAACGUAGCGAAAGUUACGCUAAUACCGCAUAUGCCCUGAUGGGGAAAGGGGGGGAUCGCAAGACCUCUCGCUUUCGGAGUGGCCGAUACCGGAUUAGCUAGAUGGUGAGGUAAAGGCUCACCAUGGCGACGAUCCGUAGCUGGUCUGAGAGGACGACCAGCCACACUGGAACUGAGACACGGUCCAGACUCCUACGGGAGGCAGCAGUGGGGAAUUUUGGACAAUGGGCGAAAGCCUGAUCCAGCCAUACCGCGUGAGUGAAGAAGGCCUUCGGGUUGUAAAGCUCUUUCAGCCGGAAAGAAAUCGCACUUUUUAAUACGGAGUGUGGAUGACGGUACCGGAAGAAGAAGCACCGGCUAACUACGUGCCAGCAGCCGCGGUAAUACGUAGGGUGCGAGCGUUAAUCGGAAUUACUGGGCGUAAAGCGUGCGCAGGCGGUUUGAUAAGCCAGAUGUGAAAUCCCCGGGCUUAACCUGGGAACUGCAUUUGGAACUGUCAGACUAGAGUGUAGCAGAGGGGGGUAGAAUUCCACGUGUAGCAGUGAAAUGCGUAGAUAUGUGGAGGAAUACCAAUGGCGAAGGCAGCCCCCUGGGUUAACACUGACGCUCAUGCACGAAAGCGUGGGGAGCAAACAGGAUUAGAUACCCUGGUAGUCCACGCCCUAAACGAUGUCAACUAGUUGUUGGGGGGAGGAGACUUCCUUUAGUAACGCAGCUAACGCGUGAAGUUGACCGCCUUGGGGGAGUACCGGUCGCAAGAUAAAACUCAAAGGAAUUGACGGG
RNAcentral lists this ribosomal RNA (851 nucleotides) under uncultured bacterium. RNAcentral describes it as "bacterial SSU rRNA". It matches the Rfam family "Bacterial small subunit ribosomal RNA", at positions 74 to 917 of the family's 1533-position model. The record is from RNAcentral.